This 491-nucleotide ribosomal RNA is filed under the name uncultured bacterium. RNAcentral's name for it is "bacterial SSU rRNA". It matches the Rfam family "Bacterial small subunit ribosomal RNA", at positions 588 to 1084 of the family's 1533-position model. The record is from RNAcentral.
UCAGUUGUGAAAGUUUGCGGCUCAACCGUAAAAUUGCAGUUGAUACUGGGCGCCUUGAGUGCAGCAUAGGUAGGCGGAAUUCGUGGUGUAGCGGUGAAAUGCUUAGAUAUCACGAAGAACUCCGAUUGCGAAGGCAGCUUACUGGACUGUAACUGACGCUGAUGCUCGAAAGUGUGGGUAUCAAACAGGAUUAGAUACCCUGGUAGUCCACACAGUAAACGAUGAAUACUCGCUGUUGGCGAUACACAGUCAGCGGCCAAGCGAAAGCAUUAAGUAUUCCACCUGGGGAGUACGCCGGCAACGGUGAAACUCAAAGGAAUUGACGGGGGCCCGCACAAGCGGAGGAACAUGUGGUUUAAUUCGAUGAUACGCGAGGAACCUUACCCGGGCUUAAAUUGCAGAUGAAUUACGGUGAAAGCCGUAAGCCGCAAGGCAUCUGUGAAGGUGCUGCAUGGUUGUCGUCAGCUCGUGCCGUGAGGUGUCGGCUUAAG